UUCCGAGGCCAAAGAACCACGGACUUGUUCAUCGGACUUGUUCGUUAGCUGUUCGGAAAUGUCCGGUACCACGACUCGGACCGAUGUCUGAUCACCAUCCAUUUCGGAAAAAUGGCGGCAAACACGCUGUUUUCACUGAAAGUACGAGAAAUGGCUCCUCCUCGAGGAAGUGUUUCAAGAGUCGACCGCCAGAGCGCACUGUGCACAAAAGCUGAAGCGUUUGCGCGAAGCGGCAAGGCGCGUUCUUCGAAUAGGAUCCAGCCUUCCCUUCCCGAGCCCAUUCCCGGCCGCCAGAGAGAUCCGUACAAGUAUUUCGCCUUUUAACCUUUUCUUCAAGUUCUAAAUGGGACAAGGAGGCUGAUUUGGUGGUCAAUAAAAAUUCAAUCAGGCAUACACUGCAA
Frankliniella occidentalis (western flower thrips) is the source of this 401-nucleotide long non-coding RNA. RefSeq lists it as uncharacterized. The transcript has 2 exons. The record is from RefSeq and is a predicted model, not a curated record. Lineage: Eukaryota; Metazoa; Arthropoda; Insecta; Thysanoptera; Thripidae.